This is a long non-coding RNA of Gossypium arboreum, 415 nucleotides long. RefSeq lists it as uncharacterized. The transcript has 2 exons. The record is from RefSeq and is a predicted model, not a curated record. Lineage: Eukaryota; Viridiplantae; Streptophyta; Magnoliopsida; Malvales; Malvaceae.
UUGUGCAGCUGAGAGGAAAAAAAAAAAGGAGAGAGGGGAGGGGGCGAUUUCCGGCAGCAAGGCCAGCCACCGUCCGAUCAUCUGACCGCUGUGCGCCACCGUGUCGGCCACCGUGAGUUUCAAAAAAAAGGGGCGCAACUUGGACGACGGUGGGGCGGUGCUGCAGCAGGCAGGAGGUGGCAGACGAACAGAAGGCCCUAGGUGCGGCGCACCUAGGGUUUGAAAUUUUUGUUUGGUGCAUUUAGGGUUUUAGGCUUAGUUGGUCCUGAGUUAUUUGGGUUGGUUUGUAAUUAGGUUUUGGGGUUAGGUUUAUUUAAGUUUGGGGUUAGGAAAUGGGUUUUGAUUUGUUUGGGUUUCUAUUUAAGUAUUGGGCCCGAUAAUUUGGGCAUUUACAAUAACAACUUUUGGUUAAUAA